UCCUCUUGUUCCCUAGCUUCUUGCCCAACUGUGACAUGCAUUUACAAUACAUUUAGUCUUGUAUCAAGGGCCAUAAUCUACGUGCCAAUUAUAAUAUAGGGAACUUUAAUUGAUUCAACUCCCCCGUUCCCUAAAUCUUUUCUUUUCUUUCUCUUUUUCUUUUUCUAUUAAUUAACUCAUCAUUUAUGUGUAUUAGAGACUCCCUUGCACGAGUACAAGGUCUCCCUUAGCCUAAUCUAGGCUUAAUACCCUAUUUUGGCAUAAAAUUUCUUAUUUUCCCACCCGGAUGAACAGUAACCCGGACUGACAGCCAGUUACUUCAUCCCGAGUUUGAUCCACUUUCCAAACUCCAGAUUUGAUGAAAUUUUUACCUAACAUUCUACACUCAUAGGGGAUUCCAAAGAGAUAACAUGCAUUGCUAUCGGAGGUCGUUUGACCCCUUAAAUAAUUCGCCGAAGUUGGAACUUCGACACAGUUUUUCCGUAGUGCCGGAAAAAUUUGUCAAAAUCCGAUUCUUUCUCUUUUAACCGCCUCUACAACCCUUAUCCGACCCUUCUAGACUAUAUCUACCCUUUGUAUAGCCUAAUGUCAUCAAAAGACUAGAUAGGGACGGAUAUUUACCUUUUUUUUUUGGAAAUCGAGGUCCUUGCGUAGAGGGGAAGGAAAGCUACGUUUUUCCCUUCAGCUGGAAGUGCAACCGGGAUCCCUCUCCUCCUCGAAUCCCCUUUCUCUUCUUCUUUCUUCUUCUUCUUCUUCUCUUUUUUUUUUUCUUUCUCUCUGUGUUUCCACGCCUGAGACCUCCUCUCCCUCUCUGUCUCAACUCCCUCUUC
Molecule: long non-coding RNA, 830 nt
Filed under: Phoenix dactylifera (date palm)
Lineage: Eukaryota; Viridiplantae; Streptophyta; Magnoliopsida; Arecales; Arecaceae
Description: long non-coding RNA (PDAC_LNC007304)
Source: RNAcentral